GGACGAUUAGCUCAGCUGGUUAGAGCGUCUCGUUUACACCGAGAAGGUCGCAGGUUCGAACCCUGCAUCGUCCACCA
Molecule: transfer RNA, 77 nt
Filed under: Candidatus Komeilibacteria bacterium RIFCSPLOWO2_02_FULL_48_11
Lineage: Bacteria; Candidatus Komeiliibacteriota
Description: tRNA-Val
Rfam family: tRNA
About the family: Transfer RNA (tRNA) molecules are approximately 80 nucleotides in length. Their secondary structure includes four short double-helical elements and three loops (D, anti-codon, and T loops). Further hydrogen bonds mediate the characteristic L-shaped molecular structure. tRNAs have two regions of fundamental functional importance: the anti-codon, which is responsible for specific mRNA codon recognition, and the 3' end, to which the tRNAs corresponding amino acid is attached (by aminoacyl-tRNA synthetases). tRNAs cope with the degeneracy of the genetic code in two manners: having more than one tRNA (with a specific anti-codon) for a particular amino acid; and 'wobble' base-pairing, i.e. permitting non-standard base-pairing at the 3rd anti-codon position.
Source: RNAcentral